GCUUGCUCCUGGAUUCAGCGGCGGACGGGUGAGAAAGCCUAGGAAUCUGCCUGGUAGUGGGGGAUAACGUCCGGAAACGGGCGCUAAUACCGCAUACGUCCUGAGGGAGAAAGUGGGGGAUCUUCGGACCUCACGCUAUCAGAUGAGCCUAGGUCGGAUUAGCUAGUUGGUGGGGUAAAGGCCUACCAAGGCGACGAUCCGUAACUGGUCUGAGAGGAUGAUCAGUCACACUGGAACUGAGACACGGUCCAGACUCCUACGGGAGGCAGCAGUGGGGAAUAUUGGACAAUGGGCGAAAGCCUGAUCCAGCCAUGCCGCGUGUGUGAAGAAGGUCUUCGGAUUGUAAAGCACUUUAAGUUGGGAGGAAGGGCAGUAAGUUAAUACCUUGCUGUUUUGACGUUUUUUUUCUGAAUAAGCACCGGCUAACUUCGUGCCAGCAGCCGCGGUAAUACGAAGGGUGCAAGCGUUAAUCGGAAUUACUGGGCGUAAAGCGCGCGUAGGUGGUUCAGCAAGUUGGAUGUGAAAUCCCCGGGCUCAACCUGGGGAACUGCAUCCAAAACUACUGAGCUAGAGUACGGUAGAGGGUGGUGGAAUUUCCUGUGUAGCGGUGAAAUGCGUAGAUAUAGGAAGGAACACCAGUGGCGAAAGCGACCACCUGGGACUGAUACUGACACUGAGGUGCGAAAGCGUGGGGAGCAAACAGGAUUAG
RNAcentral lists this ribosomal RNA (709 nucleotides) under Pseudomonas aeruginosa. RNAcentral's name for it is "bacterial SSU rRNA". It matches the Rfam family "Bacterial small subunit ribosomal RNA", at positions 78 to 781 of the family's 1533-position model. The record is from RNAcentral. Lineage: Bacteria; Pseudomonadati; Pseudomonadota; Gammaproteobacteria; Pseudomonadales; Pseudomonadaceae.